This is a non-coding RNA of Paramuricea clavata, 785 nucleotides long. The record is from the annotation of a GenBank genome assembly. Lineage: Eukaryota; Metazoa; Cnidaria; Anthozoa; Malacalcyonacea; Plexauridae.
GGCGGGCCUUGGCGACAUUUUAUAACAACCUGUACCGUAGAUCUUUCUGUGGUGCGUUCAUUGCUCUGUAUCUUUUGCGAUGAUACCUAAUUAUGAGAUGUCGAUCAUCGUAGCUUCGUCGAAAAGUAAGUACUUUUAUUUUACAAACUACAAAGUCGUAUUUUGAACAUACUAUAGAUGACUUUCUUUAUUUAUAGAUAGGACUAUUCCAUAUACAGUAACAUGUACCGGUGGUAACCCCCCUAUCGAGUUCAAGGUUUUACUAUAUGUACCCCUGAAAAAUUCCUACUGUAACAAAGUAUGUCCCAUGAUGGUUUCCUGUUAAUAGCAGUUACCACUUUAAAAAUAAUUCAGCAUUUACCUAUAGAAUUUGCCUUUGACCCCUGAUGAAAUCUCAUUGAAAAUACCCAACACCUGAAGAAUUCCAUAGCCAGGAUAAUUUGUUUACUUCUGAGAAAUUCCAGGGCCAAAAAGCAACUUACCCGAGAUGAAUUCCAAGUUCAUUGAUAUAAUGCCUCAUAGAGACUCAAAAAGGAUCGUGCACUGAUUUAUACUAUAUCUUAUAUAUCCCCGGGCGUUCUCACACGCUCCCGGGCGCUUCAGGGCGUCCCUGGGCACUCCUGGGCGUCCCCGGGCGCUCCGGGCAGUAUUUAGUACUCGUGACCGAUUAUAUAUAUACAUAUAUAUAUAUAUAUAUAUAACUACCGACGGUACCGUUCGGCCUUUAGGAUACCUAGUGUCCUUCACUAGGCUAGUGAGAGGUAUUCUGUACUUUUGCACUCGCC